Long non-coding RNA from Phyllopteryx taeniolatus (common seadragon), 1273 nucleotides. RefSeq lists it as uncharacterized. NCBI's taxonomy places the organism in Eukaryota, Metazoa, Chordata, Actinopteri, Syngnathiformes, Syngnathidae. The transcript is spliced from 2 exons. The record is from RefSeq and is a predicted model, not a curated record.
CCCCCCCGUUGUUUUUUUUUUUUUAUCCGCGAGAAGCCAUCACGUGGGAGGCCCCUUUAAAUUGCCAUUGACGGAGGCCCGAGCGUGUCACAUGGACAUGAUAUCAUGACCGGGCAGGAACACAGUAGCGAGGGAGCGAGGCCACUUCUUCUUCUUGGGUUCGGGGGAGGGGGGCACGCGAAGUCAUCUGACGACUAGGGGGAAAGAGAGGAUCCGGACCGCUGGACUCGGACUUGCCGAUUAUACACCUGCCAGCAGCUGCGACGCGCUUUCAAAACAACUCGACGGAGGUAAACAUCGCGGUCCCGGGAGCAGCGCCUUUUUGAGCACAGAGGCAUGGCUCAAUAUGGACGAUGACAUUGGCGUCGAGCGUGGGAGUCAGAGCCUGACACGAACAUCUUUGUAGCUCGACGUGUCACUUCCGGGGGACAGAAUGAAACAGGAAGCCAGUGGAAUAGCACGCCACAGAGAGGCCUUUCUUUCCAAAACGGUUUGUAUGUGUGUGUGGCCAUAAUGAUUUGCUUAAUAAGCCUCUUUUGGGGUCCGUUAAGCAAUUUUUGGGUAAUAUUGUGUUUUGCACAAAUUGGUUUUGUAGCUGACUAUGUGGAACAAGAUUGUAAAAGGGCUCCAAAAGUCAAAACAAAACAAACAAAAACAACAACACGAUAUACAGGGUGGGUGAAGAGUAACCCGGCAUUUUUCGUACCACUGACAACACGUUUUAAACAGACAGACACUAAGCGGUACAGAAAAUGGAUGGAUGGAUGGAACACUAAUAGGAAUUACUUAUUUUCCAGAUGUCUAACUGUUCAGGAGUGAGCUCAGAUAGCAGCUCACUUUCCUUUGCUUAUCUUCUAUCUUAUUACUUCUUCUCUUUACUUUCAUUUGCACAUGUCAUAAACAACGUGCAUCAUUUGUUUCAACAAAGUUGUAAUGGGCAUAUGGAUUUUAUUACCAAUUUUAAUCCUUAGUUACCUUUCACCCACCCUGGAUUUAAGUGGAUUCACUAUGAAAUCAGGUAAAUAAUGUACUACAUUACACACAGGACGGGCAUUUUUGAAGGGUUUUGGUGACACCUAUUGGCGACUGUUUACUACUACCGUUAUAUUACUAUUAAUUUAUUGUUUUAUUUAUUUGAAUUAUUACAUUACGUGUUGUACUUACUAUUAAAAUAUGUUAUAUGGCUGUAUGUUAUGUGCUAUAAAUGUUUCGUUUGACAGUAAACUUCAAUUGUGAUUGGCAAUAAAACACUUGAAGCCUCUUUUCCAAAGAA